RNAcentral lists this ribosomal RNA (249 nucleotides) under uncultured bacterium. RNAcentral's name for it is "partial 16S ribosomal RNA". It matches the Rfam family "Bacterial small subunit ribosomal RNA", at positions 338 to 604 of the family's 1533-position model. The record is from RNAcentral.
CCUACGGGACGCAGCAGUGGGGGAUAUUGCACAAUGGGCGCAAGCCUGAUGCAGCGACGCCGCGUGAGCGAAGAAGUAUUUCGGUAUGUAAAGCUCUAUCAGCAGGGAAGAAAAUGACGGUACCUGACUAAGAAGCUCCGGCUAAAUACGUGCCAGCAGCCGCGGUAAUACGUAUGGAGCAAGCGUUAUCCGGAUUUACUGGGUGUAAAGGGAGCGUAGGCGGCAUGGUAAGUCUGAUGUGAAAAUUUG